Molecule: long non-coding RNA, 1010 nt
Filed under: Monodelphis domestica (gray short-tailed opossum)
Lineage: Eukaryota; Metazoa; Chordata; Mammalia; Didelphimorphia; Didelphidae
Description: lncRNA (ENSMODG00000050697.1)
Source: RNAcentral
GUCCUAUAUAGCUCAGUCACUUAAGCUCCCUUCUGAGCACUGUUCUAUCAAUAUCUCUUUUAGCUCAGAUCCACUAUCACUCAUCCUGAAAGAUCACUCUUGUCCAACCCCUCCUUCAACUGCUCUCUUGAUCUCUGCAGCUCUGCCAUUCUGUAGUAGAUAGUAUUUAUCCUAUUCUCCAGAAGACCAGCUUUCUACCUAGCUGUCCCAUAAAAUUGACCAUUGUGUAUUUUCUAUGUCACCCAACUCUGUUAAGAAACAGAAAUUUUAUCUUUGAGCCAAAGGAUUGCCUUUCUUUUUGGGCUAUCUUGUAUUUUCAGUCCCCCAAAUCUCUCAGAAUACUAUGAAAACUUUGCUUUCUGUCAUCAUUAAAUACUUAUUAUCAGAAUAAUAUGCUUCAUCUUUUCCAGCACUUGGAUGGUACAUCUCUUACUAAUGUUAGCAUAACCUGACAAGUGUUUCAAGUUUAGAGGAGUAUUUUCUACCUUUCCCUGAUUCUCUUUCAGACCUCAUUUUUCUCCAAAGUAACUGUGCCAGGUUGCUGAAAUUAACCUGAGGCUGCUCUGCAAAUGAUCUCCAAAAGGACAGGGAAGGGAUAGAAGGAACUGUUCAGGAAAAGGCAUAUCUUGUCGUCUCUGCUAAGUUAAUGUGUAACAGAUUUGGAGACUGUCUGUCAGUGGUGAAAGUAAAUUCAGAAUUACCUCAUCAAACUCCCUCAUUUUACUGAAGAAACUAAGGCCCAAAGAUUUUCCCUGUCUCUUCAAUCUAGAAAAUGUUUCAGAGACAGGAAGACUAUCAUUUCUCUCAAUGCCAGAAAAAGACUAUGUGGGAAAAAUAUUUCUGGACAAUCAUAAAGUUUCAAGUUGAUCCCCCUCCUUAUCUAUAAGAUAUAAGAAAACCUACAAUGAACAGAAGAAUCAGGUCAGUAGCUCCUAAAAGCAAAAUAUAAUUAACUUAAUUUAUUCACAUUACAAAGUAAAAAGUAUUUAAGAUUAAUUUUAAUUAAACAC